UACAGAGACUGCAAGCGUUAUUCGGAUUCACUGGGCGUAAAGGGUGCGCAGGCGGCCGAGUGUGUGAGGCGUGAAAGCCCGGGGCUUAACCCCGGAAUUGCACCUCAAACUACACGGCUAGAGCAUUGGAGAGGUAGCAGAAUUCACGGUGUAGCAGUGAAAUGCGUAGAUAUCGUGAGGAAUACCAGAGGCGAAGGCGGCUACCUGGACAAUUGCUGACGCUCAGGCACGAAAGCGUGGGGAGCAAAAGGG
RNAcentral lists this ribosomal RNA (252 nucleotides) under uncultured bacterium. RNAcentral's name for it is "partial 16S ribosomal RNA". It matches the Rfam family "Bacterial small subunit ribosomal RNA", at positions 524 to 776 of the family's 1533-position model. The record is from RNAcentral.